This 251-nucleotide ribosomal RNA is filed under the name uncultured prokaryote. RNAcentral's name for it is "partial 16S rRNA". It matches the Rfam family "Bacterial small subunit ribosomal RNA", at positions 525 to 775 of the family's 1533-position model. The record is from RNAcentral.
ACGUAGGGGGCUAGCGUUGUUCGGAAUUACUGGGCGUAAAGCGCGUGUAGGCGGCCCCGCAAGUCGGAAGUGAAAGCCCUCGGCUCAACCGGGGAACUGCUUUCGAAACUGCGGGACUUGAGUGUGGGAGGGGAGAGCGGAAUUCCCGGUGUAGCGGUGAAAUGCGUAGAUAUCGGGAAGAGCAGCGGUGGCGAAGGCAGCACACUGGACCACUACUGACGCUGAGACGCGAAAGCGUGGUUAGCAUGCCG